RNAcentral lists this ribosomal RNA (253 nucleotides) under uncultured bacterium. RNAcentral describes it as "partial 16S ribosomal RNA". It matches the Rfam family "Bacterial small subunit ribosomal RNA", at positions 524 to 776 of the family's 1533-position model. The record is from RNAcentral.
UACGUAGGGGGCAAGCGUUGUCCGGAUUUAUUGGGCGUAAAGAGCGUGUAGGCGGCCAGGUAGGUCCGCUGUGAAAACUCGAGGCUCAACCUCGAGAUGUCGGCGGAAACCAUCUGGCUAGAGUCCGGAAGAGGAGAGUGGAAUUCCCGGUGUAGCGGUGAAAUGCGCAGAUAUCGGGAAGAACACCCGUGGCGAAGGCGGCUCUCUGGGACGGUACUGACGCUGAGACGCGAAAGCGUGGGGAGCGAACAGG